Molecule: ribosomal RNA, 497 nt
Filed under: uncultured bacterium
Lineage: Bacteria
Description: partial 16S ribosomal RNA
Rfam family: Bacterial small subunit ribosomal RNA
Source: RNAcentral
GAUGAACGCUGGCGGCGUGCCUAAUACAUGCAAGUCGAGCGAACAGACGAGGAGCUUGCUCCUUCGACGCUAGCGGCGGACGGGUGAGUAACACGUAGGUAACCUACCUAUAAGACUGGGAUAACUUCGGGAAACCGGAGCUAAUACCGGAUAAUAUUUCGAACCGCAUGGUUCGAUAGUGAAAGAUGGCUUUGCUAUCACUUAUAGAUGGACCUGCGCCGUAUUAGCUAGUUGGUAAGGUAACGGCUUACCAAGGCAACGAUACGUAGCCGACCUGAGAGGGUGAUCGGCCACACUGGAACUGAGACACGGUCCAGACUCCUACGGGAGGCAGCAGUAGGGAAUCUUCCGCAAUGGGCGAAAGCCUGACGGAGCAACGCCGCGUGAGUGAUGAAGGUCUUCGGAUCGUAAAACUCUGUUAUUAGGGAAGAACAAACGUGUAAGUAACUGUGCACGUCUUGACGGUACCUAAUCAGAAAGCCACGGCUAACUACGUG